RNAcentral lists this ribosomal RNA (301 nucleotides) under uncultured bacterium. RNAcentral's name for it is "partial 16S ribosomal RNA". It matches the Rfam family "Bacterial small subunit ribosomal RNA", at positions 509 to 807 of the family's 1533-position model. The record is from RNAcentral.
CAGCCGCCGCGGUAAUACGAAGGGUGCAAGCGUUAAUCGGAAUUCCUGGGCGUAAAGCGUGCGUAGGCGGUGAGUUAAGUCUGCUGUGAAAUCCCCGGGCUCAACCUGGGAAUGGCAGUGGAUACUGGCUCGCUAGAGUGUGUCAGAGGAUGGUGGAAUUCCCGGUGUAGCGGUGAAAUGCGUAGAGAUCGGGAGGAACAUCAGUGGCGAAGGCGGCCAUCUGGGACAACACUGACGCUGAGGCACGAAAGCGUGGGGAGCAAACAGGAUUAGAUACCCCAGUAGUCCCUGUCUCUUAUAC